CUGACGCUAACGAGCCAGCCUCAUCCAUUUCCUCUCGCCCACAUCGUCUCCCACACAGCACUGCACUUUCCUCUCCCCCACAUCGUCUCCCACACAGCACUGCACUGGCUGGCUCGUUGCCUCUUCCGGCGACUGCCUCCACACAGAACCGUGCCAGCUCGCUACCUCUUCCGGCGACCGCCGCAACGCCGCACCUCGCUCUCUCUCUCCCUCUUCCGGCGACUGCCAAAACGCAGCACCGCGCGCUCGUUGGCUGCCCCUUCCGGCGGCUGCCAAAACGCAGCACCGCCCUCGUUCGCUGCCCCUUCUGGCAACCGGCAAAAAUCGUGCUGAGGUUACCCAACGACUGGAGUUACAAGGUAUGCCACUAAUUUUUGUGCGGGUGACCGUAGUUUCUCCUUUCGGGGGUGGCUUGCUGCUGGUCAGAGUCUGGAGGGGGGACGUGUGUGGAUCAGCGAUUCCGAGCUAAGAGGAGAUGGGGGUGGUGCUGCCAUCCAUCAUGCGUUGAUUCUGUGGCUGAGGAGGAGACACCGCCUGUGGCGUGUUGAUGUGAGUGUCAUUGAUUUGGUCCCAGGCAGGGUAUGCGUGGUCAUUUGCUUUACCAGUUCGAACGAAAUUGAAGUGCCGGUGGUCGCUCCCUUCAUCAAUUCGAGCAGAAUGAAGCUAUGGAUGGUUGGCGUGGAGGAGGAUGCGUGGUUUGUGAUGUAUCGUCGGUUUGGUUGGAGUGUUGAAGUGGGUGGUUGUCAGCUUUGUCGAUUCUGUUUAGAAGGAUGUAUUAGCGUUGUUCCCUUUUGUCAAUUCAAGUUGAAUUGAGGCACGCAAGUGAUUGCCAAUGUGAUGGUUCAAGUAGGUUGGCUGGAUGUUUUGGUGGUUUGGAGAGUAAAGCAAUGGGGUCUAAUCACAGGUGUUGUAGGUCUGAAUGUGCUUGAUUCGAUUUGAGCUUGUUAGCGUCCUAUGCCCCCAUUAAGUUUUCCUACUUUUAUUUGGUUUGAUGCUUGCGUGUUACGUAUGCAAAAAUACUGGUAGAUACUUAUUCGUGGGCAGGUACAUAAUUUCUGUGAAAUAGAUGCUAGUCGACAAGGAGGGUGCUAAAUUUGUUUUCUGGUUGCAACUUGCCGGUGAUAGGUCUGUUCUGCCCCUUGUUGUGGUGAAGUCUUACCAAUUAUAGGUUUGGUUUUAGGAAUUGUGUUACGGGGAGGGUGUUCUCUGGGUUUGGUACUGCAGUGGGUGUAUUUUUUUCGACUGCCCUCAAACUUGAUGCAUGUAUAAAUGGUUACUUGUUUUAUAAGAUGGCAGUUCCAAUUAGAAUGCAUUGGCAUUUGAUGCAUGUAUACAUGGUUACUUGAUGUUUAUUGCACAUCAACUUAUGUUUAAACAACAUGGUAAUUUCGUUUAUUAUGCACCGAUAACUUGGCUCGUAUAGGGAUGACACAUUAAUGUCAAUUUUACAACUUAAUAUUAGAUAAGUUGCAUGUAUCACAUGGCAAUUUCAAUCGCAAUGCAUUGGUAGUUUCGGUCUUUUUAGCAUGCAUGGAAACUUCGAUCUAGAAGGAUUGAUGUCUCAUGGGUAGUUUUAGAAUAGUAUGCUUAAUUGGUAAUUCCAGUCUAUUUGCCAUGCCAACUUUCCAAUGUGUCUCACUGGUAGUUUCAAAAUAGUAAGCAAGGUAAUUCCAAUAUAUUUAGCAUGGCAACUUCAACCUAGAAUGACGAGUGUUAGUUACAUAAUAGUAGGCAUGGUAAUUCCUAUCUAUUUAUCAUGGCAACUUCAACCUAGAAUGGUGAGUGUUAGUUUCAGAAUAGCAUGCUUGGUAAUUCUAGUCUUUUUACCAUGCAUGGCAACUUCAGUCUGAAGGAUGAGUGCCUCAUUGGUAAUUUCAGAAUAGUAGAACCUAUUUAGCAUGUCAACUUCAAUUUCAAAGAUGGAUAUCUCACUGUUAGUUUCAUAAUAGUAUACAUGGUAAUUCUAAUCUAUUUAGCAUGCCAACUUUUCAGUCUAUAAUGAUGAAGUCUCACUAGUAUUUUCAUAAUUGUAGGUCUGAUAAUUCCAAUCCAUUUAUCAUGGUAAAUUCAAUCCAGAUUGAUGAGUGUUAGUUUAAGAAUAGCAUAUGCUUUGUAAUUCCAGUCGUUUUAGUACCAUAGUAUGAUAACUUGAUGAGUGCCUCAUUGGUAACUUCAGAAUAAUAGUCUUGGUAAUUCGAACCUAUUUAGCAUGGAAACUUCAAUCUAGAAGGAUAGAUGUCUCAUUGGUAGUUUCAUGAUAGUAUGCCUGGUAAUUCUAGUCUAUUUAGCAUGCCAACUUUUCAAUCUAUAAUGAUGAGUUUUUCACUAGUAGUUUCAGAAUUUUAGGUCUGGUGAUUCCAAACUAUUUAGCCUGGUAACUUCAAUCUAGAGUGAUGAGUGUUAGUUUACGAAUAGCAUGCCUGGUAAUUCCAGUCGUUUUAGCAUCACAACUUUCAAUCUUGAAGGAUGAGUGCUUCAUUGGUAAUUUCAGAAUAAUAGGCCUAGUAAUUCGAACCUAUUUAGCAUGGCAACUUCAAUCUAGAAGUCUCAGUGGUAGUUUCAUGAUACUAUGCCGGUAAUUCCAGUCAAUUUAGCAUGCCGGCUUUUUAAUCUACAAUGAUGACUUCCUCACUGGUAGUUUCAGAAUUUUAGGCCCGAUGAUUCCAAUCUAUUUAGCUUGGUAACUUCAAUUUAGAAUGACGAGUGUUAGUUUAAGAAUAGUAUGCCUGGUGAUUCCAGUCGUUUUAGAUUCACGACUUCAAUCUUGAAGGAUGAGUGCCUCAUUGGUAAUUUCAGAAUAAUAGGCCUUGUAAUUCGAACCUAUUUAGCAUGGCAACUUCAAUCUAGAAGUCUCAGGGGUAGUUUAAUUAUAGUAUGUCUGGUAAUUCCAGUCUAUUUAGCAUGGUAACUUUUUAAUUUAUAAUGAUGAGUUUCUCACUGGUAGUUUCAGAAUUUUAGGCCUGAUAAUUCCAAUCCAUUUAGCUUGGCAACAUUAAUCUAGAAUGAUGAGUGUUAGUUUAACAAUAGCAUGCCUGGUAAUUUCAGUCGUUUUAGCAUGGCAACUUCAAUCCUGAAGGACGAGUGCCUCAUUGGUAAUUUUCAGAAUAAUAGGCCUGGUAAUUCGAACCUAUUUAACAUGGCAACUUCAAUAUAGAAGAAUAGAUGUCACACUUGUAGUUUCAGACUACUAAGCAUGGUACUUUGACUAUGUUUGGCAUGCCAAAUUCAACCUACAAGAUGCGUUCCACACCAGGUAGUUCACGUCUACAACGACAGUAAUUUUAGAAUUUUUAGCAUGACAACUUUCUUCUAGAAGGAUGAGUUUCAUAAUGGGUAGUUUCAUGGCUAUAGGGAUGGUGAAUUCAGAUUCUUUAUCAUGGUAACUUCAAUCUGGAAGGAUUAGUUUCAUAUUGUUUUGUCUAGCAUCACCGUUUUUUGAAUCUCCAAGUCAGUUAUGAAGUUUAGCACUGUGUCCCUUCCUGUUGUAUAUUGCAAAGUGUCUGCUUAUGUGUGAUCUCGUUUUUUAUUUCUGGUCUAGAAUUUGUGAUGGGAUUUUUGGCUUGAUCGCCCAUGGCUGACACCCUCUUUUCGGGGCAAAUUUUUGGAGAUGGUUUUGAUCAAGGGGGUAACUUGGAUCAGAAGAGGGCUGUUUUGGAUCUGGCCGAUUGAGAUGGAGAAGGUGCAGUUAGCAGGAUUUGGGCGAUCUAAGUUGAAAAAGAAGGCAGCUUGGAUCUGUCGGGACGCUCGAGCCUUCAUCGGCUCUCUUUUUCUCUGAAUCGUUUGGCCGGCCUAUCUCGCACAUGAGCCAGCUGGGCCCAACGUUUUGAUUGCUUUGCGUCAAACUGCAAGCUGGAGGACGGUCGCACACUGGGCUUUUUAGCGCGUACGGUCGCGCUUGCACCGAUCGAUUGGUGACCAAAUCACGCGUAUGGUCGGGCGUUAUUGGCGUAUCACUCAUUAUAUCUAUACCAUUGAACUUUUACUGAACAGUCAUUGAAAUUUUGGUAGACCACUCAUGUCAAUGAUAUAAAAAUAAAAAUAACGAUACAUUAAUUAUCUGAUAUUUUUAAAUGAAAACAAAUAUAAUUGAUAUUCUAAAUGGGGCGGACUGCAGGUUGACUCUAAGGAAACUGAAGGGUGAAAAUGAAAAAUGCCCACUUGCUGAGAUUUCCUUAGAUCUGGACCACAGAUUGAGAAUCUUGUGGCUCACAGUUAGCUAGUGCAUGAGUACACCUGAAGGCCCUAGUGCAUAGCAUACGCUCCCGCCAAUGCCUUGGUGGUUGGGUGACAAACGUGAGUGGUGAAUACAAGUUGGAGCACGAUCAGCUUUUUCGUUUGGUUGAGGAGCUCAAUACGCUGGUGGAGUGUUUCAUUUCGAGUCAUCACCUUCCUCCCCUAUAAGGAGGACGCUUCUUAGAAUUAGCAAUAUGGCCAAUCUGUUGAUGGGCUAUCUUAUCUAGGAAAUCCGCUGAACCACCCCAGCACAACUUCAUUCUGGUGGAAAGACAACCUGAAACUUUUGUUGCAAUACAAAAAUUUGGCUAAAUGCACUAUCUUAUCUGGGAAAUCGGCCAGCUUCUGGAGAGACAGAUGGGCUAACAAUAUUCUUAGUGAUCAGUGGCCCUGGUUGUUUUCAUUUGCUAAGGACAAAAACAUUUCUGUCCUUAUUUGCCAGGACAUGAUCACCCUUUUUGCCCUUCCCCUAUCAACUUAUGCAUAUGAUCAAUAUAACCAGCUGAAUGGUUUAUUGGAGCAACUCCAGGUCCGACAUCAGCAAGAUUGUUGGUCACUCAUGGGUGCCCUCAAUGGUUUCAGCACAGCCAAAGCAUAUGAAUUGCUUAUUGACCACAUUAAUGACAUACCCGCCACACUUACGUGGAUCUGGAAUUCUUUCGGCCAACUCAAACACAAGUUCUUUGCAUGGCUAAUGAUCAUUAACAGGCUCAACACCAAAGCAAUGUUGCAUCAAAAGAACUUUCACCUGCCUGGGUACACUUGUUUCCUUUGAAUGGAUUGUAGAUGGAGACCAGGGACCAUCUCUUCUUUCAGUGGCCAUUUUCUGUGGCAUGUUGGAGAUAUAUUUGCCCAGGAUUCGCUCCACGACACAAUGUGCAUCAUAACAUCAUGGAUUUGAAGGAUCCUCUUGGUUUUCAUUUCAUAUGGAAAUCAUUACACUUGCUUGUUGAAGCAUUUGGAGAAUUCGCAAUGACAAUAUCUUCAAUAACAUCAAGCCUUCACUAUAUCGAUGCCGGCACAUCUUCAAAGGUGAGCUUAAUCUUGUUUUCCAUAGAGCCAAAAGAAAGGAAUACUCCAAUUUUAAAAGCUGGAUAGAUAGGUUCAGAUAGAUACCUGUUGUUUGCCUGAUAAUUCUUGAUUAUCAGCAUUGUGCAUUACCCUUUUUAUAUAAUAUAAUCGCAGUGGGUCAUCAAUCCACUGUUUUCCCUCAAAAAAAUAUGGACAAUCUGUUUGAUGAACAUCGGCUUCAAGAUCUUUACUAAAGUUUGGACAAAUCGGAUCAAUUCUGUCAUGAGUAUGGUAAUUUUGAUCUAAACAAUGUUUAUGUGGGAUCGUCAUCACAUCCUGCAGGGGGUGGCGGUGCUUGUGAGACCAUCCACAAGCUAAGACGUAAAUAUUUUAUGGUAAAAAGACUCGCUUCCAGAACUACAUGGAGGAAGAGCUCACCCUUGGAGGAGGGAGGAUUGGACGGUGGCGGCCAUGGAGCCACCCGAUUGCAUACUAGGAUAGAAAGGAGGUGAGUUUCUUAGAGAAGGGUGCAAUGGUCCUGGACUUGAUGGUGACACGGUGGAUAUAUUUGCUAGAUGGCAACACGCAGGGAUGAAGAGCCAAGGCAUAGCCCUAGUUUUGGCGCUAACCAGGUAAAAUCAAUUGGUACCGGCUGCUCACGAUCAGAGUGGGAGGAGCGGGCUAUGCAGAGCCUUGGAACCGAGUUUUUCAGGGGUUUGCUGAGUCUUUGCAGGGUCUUGGAAAGCCCAUCAGGCCCCAUGCGAGACCAGUGCAGUAGUCAAAGGCGCGUUACCGGGGAUUAUACCUGGGCAAACCCCGGGCCGGGCGGGUUUCGGGCCGGGCUUCAUAAAACCUGACGGUCAAACCUCAAACCCGAGCCCGGCCCGAAACCCAGAAAAUAGGCCAUUUAAGCAUUAAAAUAAUUAAUUUUGGAAUAAAGAAAUGUAUUUUUAUACCUAUUUUUCCUAAAAAAAAUACUCAAUUUAAGCCAUUUCGGGCUGUUUUUGGGCUUCCGGGCCAGGCUUUGGGCGGAAAAGUGAAGCCCGGGCCCAGCCCGGUACCUCGGGCUUCGAGCCGGCCCACCCAUGCCCAGGUAUACCUAGGAUGAUGUGGCGAUGGGUCAUAGGUCGAGAGCUUGAGCAGUAGUCGAAGCGCUAAGAGUGCGGUAAUAAGAGUGCGGGAAGCUCUACAAGUUUAGUUUCGUAGGUAUACAACCGCAGAUAUGUGUCCAUCUUUCAACGUGGAACAUGUUAUCGAUUACAUAGGGACAAUUUUGACGAUUAUAUUACAGCCAUGAUUACACAUACCUUAGCAAUCGCUAAAACCUUUACAACCACCUUGUUUCUCUUUUUCAUGGUUCUUGUUAUUCAAACAUACCUGAGUAUUCCAUAAAACAUCGAGAGCUUUUUAAAUAUAAGGAAAAUAUAUCUAACAUUUGAGGCCUGCAAUAUAUAACUUUAACAAGUUAACAAUAGUAUAUACCAAUAUAUAGCCCUUGCAGUGACAUAUAUUUAUCUUUGCCAUCUGAUCAGUCUUACGAAAUUAUGAAGGUUUUUUAUUUAUUUAUUUAUGAAUUGACCACGUGUAUAUACAGAUUGUUUUUUCAGGCAAUCACCGGGAAGGAGAGCAUCCCCAUCUGACUAUAUUACAAGGGAGGAUAGAUAAUCUCGUCGAUCAUAAGCCGCCGGCUAACCUAUGAUCCGGGUGUUUUGAACUUGAUAUAGAAGAAAGUAAGUUCAUCAACCACAGUCGAAAUAACAAGUAACAGGUAGAGUUUCACUGCGGAAAACCUUGGCUUUUCGGCAGAUCCAAAUUCUCCAUGGUACGAGGGGAUGAAUCGACGGCCAUAUGGAGCUGAGCAGUCCACGCAGAAUACGUAGUGCCCAGGUGCAUUGGAACAAAUUUAAAGUUCAUUGUAUAUGUCUGGCCAGCGGAAGCUGAAUGCCGUAGGCACAACUGGUAUACGUACGUCUCACCAACGUUUAUCUAGUGACCAAUCUCACAAGAUAAGGUUCAUCUAGUGAACCCCGGAUUAAUUAAAUUAGUCAUAAUUAUCAAUGUUGUCCUAUGCAAGCAGCCACGUAUAAUUUGUCCUAACUCAAUAUUUUCGGGUUAUAUGCACAUGCAUGUUGUCGUAAUUGUAUCAUUCACAUGAAUCACAUGGACCCACCUGGA
RNAcentral lists this long non-coding RNA (7419 nucleotides) under Brachypodium distachyon (stiff brome). Its description in RNAcentral is "long non-coding RNA (BDIS_LNC003265)". The record is from RNAcentral. Lineage: Eukaryota; Viridiplantae; Streptophyta; Magnoliopsida; Poales; Poaceae.